Molecule: ribosomal RNA, 434 nt
Filed under: uncultured bacterium
Lineage: Bacteria
Description: bacterial SSU rRNA
Rfam family: Bacterial small subunit ribosomal RNA
Source: RNAcentral
AGAGUUUGAUCCUGGCUCAGAGCGAACGCUGGCGGCGUGCCUAACACAUGCAAGUCGAACGUGAAAGGGGGCAACCCUGAGUAAAGUGGCGUACGGGUGAGUAACGCGUAGGUAAUCUACCCCAGAGUUUGGAAUAACCUGCCGAAAGGCGGGCUAAUACUAGAUAGAGCGACGGAAUCCGUAAUCGGAUUUUUCGGGAAAGGGAGGACGUAAGUCCCUUCGCUCUGGGAUGAGCCUGCGUCUCAUUAGCUAGUUGGUGGGGUAAUGGCCCACCAAGGCUUUGAUGGGUAGCUGGUCUGAGAGGAUGAUCAGCCACACUGGAACUGAAACACGGUCCAGACUCCUACGGGAGGCAGCAGUGGGGAAUCUUGCGCAAUGGGCGAAAGCCUGACGCAGCCACGCCGCGUGAGUGAAGAAGGCCUUCGGGUUGUAAA